RNAcentral lists this ribosomal RNA (237 nucleotides) under uncultured Sphingobacteriales bacterium. Its description in RNAcentral is "partial 16S ribosomal RNA". It matches the Rfam family "Bacterial small subunit ribosomal RNA", at positions 1145 to 1382 of the family's 1533-position model. Lineage: Bacteria; Pseudomonadati; Bacteroidota; Sphingobacteriia; Sphingobacteriales. The record is from RNAcentral.
GGAACUGCCUACGCAAGUAGUGAGGAGGCGGGGAUGACGUCAAAUCAGCACGGCCCUUACGUCCAGGGCUACACACGUGCUACAAUGGCCGAUACAGAGGGCAGCUACCUGGUGACAGGAUGCAAAUCUCCAAAGUCGGUCUCAGUUCGGAUCGGAGUCUGCAACCCGACUCCGUGAAGUUGGAUUCGCUAGUAAUCGCGCAUCAGCCAUGGCGCGGUGAAUACGUUCCCGGGCCUU